GGAGAGAUGGCCGAGUCGGCUGAAGGCGCUCGCCUGCUAAGCGAGUGUACGCUGUAAAGGUGUACCGAGGGUUCGAAUCCCUCUCUCUCCG
Molecule: transfer RNA, 91 nt
Filed under: Syntrophobacter fumaroxidans MPOB
Lineage: Bacteria; Pseudomonadati; Thermodesulfobacteriota; Syntrophobacteria; Syntrophobacterales; Syntrophobacteraceae
Rfam family: tRNA
About the family: Transfer RNA (tRNA) molecules are approximately 80 nucleotides in length. Their secondary structure includes four short double-helical elements and three loops (D, anti-codon, and T loops). Further hydrogen bonds mediate the characteristic L-shaped molecular structure. tRNAs have two regions of fundamental functional importance: the anti-codon, which is responsible for specific mRNA codon recognition, and the 3' end, to which the tRNAs corresponding amino acid is attached (by aminoacyl-tRNA synthetases). tRNAs cope with the degeneracy of the genetic code in two manners: having more than one tRNA (with a specific anti-codon) for a particular amino acid; and 'wobble' base-pairing, i.e. permitting non-standard base-pairing at the 3rd anti-codon position.
Source: Rfam by way of RNAcentral